This 100-nucleotide non-coding RNA is filed under the name Methylotenera mobilis 13. RNAcentral describes it as "DUF3800-V RNA". It matches the Rfam family "DUF3800-V RNA". The record is from Rfam by way of RNAcentral. Lineage: Bacteria; Pseudomonadati; Pseudomonadota; Betaproteobacteria; Nitrosomonadales; Methylophilaceae.
UCCAUCCUGACGGGUAAGUCCUGUUACGUGCCUUAGGUGUUUCCUUCCAUCGGCUGGCGAUAAGCCUAAGGAUAAGAGCGUAAUAGGGGCCGUCUAUUUU